This 252-nucleotide ribosomal RNA is filed under the name uncultured microorganism. RNAcentral describes it as "partial 16S ribosomal RNA". It matches the Rfam family "Bacterial small subunit ribosomal RNA", at positions 524 to 776 of the family's 1533-position model. The record is from RNAcentral.
UACGUAGGUCCCGAGCGUUGUCCGGAUUUAUUGGGCGUAAAGCGAGCGCAGGUGGUUGAUUAAGUCUGGUGUAAAAGGCAGUGGCUCAACCAUUGUAUGCAUUGGAAACUGGUAGACUUGAGUGCAGGAGAGGAGAGUGGAAUUCCAUGUGUAGCGGUGAAAUGCGUAGAUAUAUGGAGGAACACCGGUGGCGAAAGCGGCUCUCUGGCCUGUAACUGACACUGAGGCUCGAAAGCGUGGGGAGCAAACAGG